ACGCUGCCGCUGAGGAAAGUCCUGUACUACUAGCCAUGGUCAACCCUACCGUGUUCUUCGACAUUGCCGUCGACGGCGAGCCUUUGGGCCGCGUCUCCUUCUAGCUGUUUGCAGACAAGGUUCCAAAGACAGCAGAAAAUUUUCGUGCUUUGAGCACUGGAGAGAAAGGAUUUGGUUAUAAGGGUUCCUGCUUUCACAGAAUUAUUCCAGGGUUUAUGUGUCAGGGUGGUGACUUCACACGCCAUAAUGGCACUGGUGGCAAGUCCAUCUGCACUGCCAAGACUGAGUGGUUGGAUGGCAAGCAUGUGGUCUUUGGCAAAGUGAAAGAAGGCAUGAAUAUUGUGGAGGCCAUGGAGCGCUUUGGGUCCAGGAAUGGCAAGACCAGCAAGAAGAUCACCAUUGCCGACUGUGGACAACUCGAAUAAGUUUGACUUGUGUUUUAUCUUAACCACCAGACCAUUCCUUCUGUAGCUCAGGAGAGCACCCCUCCACCCCAUUUGCUCGCAGUAUCCUAGAAUCUUUGUGCUCUCGCUGCAGUUCCCUUUGGGUUCCAAGUUUUCCUUGUUCUCUCCCAUGCCUAGCUGGAUUGCAGAGUUAAGUUUAUGAUUAUGAAAUAAAAACUAAGUAACAAUU
Mandrillus leucophaeus (drill) is the source of this 633-nucleotide RNA transcript. It is a transcript of the gene named peptidyl-prolyl cis-trans isomerase A-like, with no coding region annotated. The record is from RefSeq and is a predicted model, not a curated record. Lineage: Eukaryota; Metazoa; Chordata; Mammalia; Primates; Cercopithecidae. The transcript is spliced from 2 exons.